This 233-nucleotide long non-coding RNA is filed under the name Elaeis guineensis (African oil palm). RNAcentral's name for it is "long non-coding RNA (EGUI_LNC081573)". Lineage: Eukaryota; Viridiplantae; Streptophyta; Magnoliopsida; Arecales; Arecaceae. The record is from RNAcentral.
CUCCACCAUCAUUUGAAGCUAUAAAAGGCACUUAAAAGAGGGAAUAAACAAGGUUUUUCAAGCAUUCAUUUCAGCCCUAAGUAAAGGGCCUUCUUGAAGUUAAAGAAGCUUUCAUUUCAAGUUCACCAACCCCUCAAGAGCUCAUUCAAGUCUUCAACAAUCUUGAGGAGAAUCAGAAAAGCUUCUUCAUUGUUGUAUAAAAUAUAUUUAAAGCUUUAUUUGCUCAUUAAAGG